This 354-nucleotide ribosomal RNA is filed under the name uncultured bacterium. Its description in RNAcentral is "bacterial SSU rRNA". It matches the Rfam family "Bacterial small subunit ribosomal RNA", at positions 28 to 394 of the family's 1533-position model. The record is from RNAcentral.
GACAAACGCUGGCGGAAUGUAUUAGGCAUGCAAGUCGCACGAACCUUCGGGUUAGUGGCGGACGGGUGAGUAACACGUGGGUAACCUGCCUCGUAGUGGGGAAUAACUCGCCGAAAGGCGAGCUAAUACCGCAUAUAACUCCUGGUGAGAAUCCGGGAAGUAAAGGCUCCGGCGCUACGAGAGGGGCCCGCGGCCGAUUAGCUUGUUGGUGGGGUAAUGGCCUACCAAGGCGACGAUCGGUAACUGGUCUGAGAGGAUGGUCAGCCACACGGGGACUGAGAUACGGCCCCGACUCCUACGGAGGCAGCAGCUAAGAAAUCUUGCGCAAUAGGGCGGAAAGACCUGACGCAGCAA